Molecule: small nuclear RNA, 19 nt
Filed under: Arabidopsis thaliana (thale cress)
Lineage: Eukaryota; Viridiplantae; Streptophyta; Magnoliopsida; Brassicales; Brassicaceae
Description: snRNA_13554
Source: RNAcentral
CCUCUAAAAUAGAUUCACC